GCGUAUUAGUGAUAGUAGCGGCAUCCUUUUAUGUGGUAACUUUUAAAAAAGUUACCACAUAAAAGAUAUAGCGAAUAGCACGACCCGCA
This 89-nucleotide small RNA is filed under the name Tenacibaculum todarodis. Its description in RNAcentral is "Tenacibaculum sp. LPB0136 Flavo-1 RNA". It matches the Rfam family "Flavo-1 RNA". Lineage: Bacteria; Pseudomonadati; Bacteroidota; Flavobacteriia; Flavobacteriales; Flavobacteriaceae. The record is from Rfam by way of RNAcentral.